AGUUUCUGUAGUAUAGUGGUUAUCACAUCUGCUUGACAUGCAUAAGGUCCUGGGUUCAAUCCCCAGUAAAACCA
This is a non-coding RNA of Protopterus annectens (West African lungfish), 74 nucleotides long. The record is from the annotation of a RefSeq genome assembly. NCBI's taxonomy places the organism in Eukaryota, Metazoa, Chordata, Ceratodontiformes, Protopteridae.